This 374-nucleotide ribosomal RNA is filed under the name uncultured eukaryote. RNAcentral's name for it is "partial 18S ribosomal RNA". It matches the Rfam family "Eukaryotic small subunit ribosomal RNA", at positions 592 to 976 of the family's 1831-position model. The record is from RNAcentral.
UAAUAGCGUAUACUUAAGUUGUUGCAGUUAAAAAGCUCGUAGUCGGAUGUCGGGCUUGGGCAGGCUGUCGGCUUUUGUCGGACGGCAGGCUCGGGCCUUUCUGCCUGGGGACCGCGUCACACUUCACUGUGGGGCGUCGGGACGCAGGCCGUUUACUUUGAAAAAAUUAGAGUGUUCAAAGCGGGCCUACGCUUGAAUACAUUAGCAUGGAAUAAUGGAAUAGGACUUUGGUGCCAUUCUGUUGGUUUAUGGAACCGAAGUAAUGAUUAAUAGGGACAGUUGGGGCCGUUUAUAUUUCGUUGUCAGAGGUGAAAUUCUUGGAUUUACGAAAGAUAAACUUCUGCGAAAGCAUUCGGCAAGGAUGUUUUCAUUGA